This 909-nucleotide ribosomal RNA is filed under the name Pseudocercospora macadamiae. Its description in RNAcentral is "eukaryotic LSU rRNA". The stretch from base 1 to 526 matches the Rfam family "Eukaryotic large subunit ribosomal RNA", at positions 113 to 664 of the family's 3401-position model. The record is from RNAcentral. Lineage: Eukaryota; Fungi; Ascomycota; Dothideomycetes; Mycosphaerellales; Mycosphaerellaceae.
AUUUGAAAUCUGGCGCAAGCCCGAGUUGUAAUUUGUAGAGGAUGCUUCUGGGUAGCGGCCGGUCUAAGUUCCUUGGAACAGGACGUCAUAGAGGGUGAGAAUCCCGAAUGUGACUGGCUUGCACCCUCCACGUAGCUCCUUCGACGAGUCGAGUUGUUUGGGAGUGCAGCUCUAAAUGGGAGGUAAAUUUCUUCUAAAGCUAAAUACCGGCCAGAGACCGAUAGCGCACAAGUAGAGUGAUCGAAAGAUGAAAAGCACUUUGGAAAGAGAGUUAAAAAGCACGUGAAAUUGUUGAAAGGGAAGCGCCCGCAACCAGACUUUGCGGCAGGGUUCGGCCGGUCUUCUGACCGGUUUACUCGCUGUUCGGAGUCCCUCAUCGUCUGGAACCGCUGGAUAAGACCUUAGGAAUGUGGCUCCCCUCGGGGAGCUUUAAGACCUCUGGAGUAGCGCUCGCCUCUGUAGAGGUCCGCGCUGCGCGAAGUGUACGUCAGAACUGCUGCUAGCCUCCCCCGUCUUGAACCUCUGGCUUCACAGUCUACCAUCAUAUGCGAGUGUUCUGUCGUCACCCCCCAGCUAUGUAUCUUACUCAAAUCGGAUGUGAGGAACUUUUUGAUCGACUCGAUGACCGCAUCAAAAAUGUUCCUCACGAUCCGAUCACAGUAAAUAGCAUAGUAGGGUGUGGACCACAAAAACGCUGGACCUAUGUCUGAAAAUGGGUUGAGUCCAGAGGUAAACUAUGGUCCGGGGCUCGACGCUUUUCUCUCAUCGAUGCAUUGCCGAUCGCCCAGAAUCUUCGGCAUGAGGAGCCGAAUAGCACUCAACAGAGGCAUACUAAGUACUCUCGCUACCGUGGCCGCCAGGAUUUCCCCUACAGGUAAAGUCCGUAGACUCUCCGAGUUAUUGAUGAGG